UACGUAGGGACCGAGCGUUGUCCGGAAUCAUUGGGCGUAAAGAGCGUGUAGGCGGCCACUUAAGUCCUGCGUGAAAUCUUGCGGCUCAACCGCAAGCGGUCGUGGGAAACUGGGUGGCUAGAGUGCGGGAGAGGAGAGUGGAAUUCCUGGUGUAGAGGUGAAAUUCGUAGAUAUCGGGAGGAACACCAGUGGCGAAGGCGGCGACCUGGGCCAAUAUUGACGCUGAGGUGGCGAAAAGCGUGGGGAGCAAACAGGG
Molecule: ribosomal RNA, 256 nt
Filed under: uncultured bacterium
Lineage: Bacteria
Description: partial 16S ribosomal RNA
Rfam family: Bacterial small subunit ribosomal RNA
Source: RNAcentral